RNAcentral lists this ribosomal RNA (1346 nucleotides) under uncultured bacterium. RNAcentral's name for it is "partial 16S ribosomal RNA". It matches the Rfam family "Bacterial small subunit ribosomal RNA", at positions 28 to 1381 of the family's 1533-position model. The record is from RNAcentral.
GACGAACGCUGGCGGCGUGCUUAACACAUGCAAGUCGAACGGAAAGGCCCUGCUUUUGUGGGGUGCUCGAGUGGCGAACGGGUGAGUAACACGUGAGUAACCUGCCCUUGACUUUGGGAUAACUUCAGGAAACUGGGGCUAAUACCGGAUAGGAGCUCCUGCUGCAUGGUGGGGGUUGGAAAGUUUCGGCGGUUGGGGAUGGACUCGCGGCUUAUCAGCUUGUUGGUGGGGUAGUGGCUUACCAAGGCUUUGACGGGUAGCCGGCCUGAGAGGGUGACCGGCCACAUUGGGACUGAGAUACGGCCCAGGCUCCUACGGGAGGCAGCAGUGGGGAAUAUUGCACAAUGGGCGGAAGCCUGAUGCAGCAACGCCGCGUGCGGGAUGACGGCCUUCGGGUUGUAAACCGCUUUCGCCUGUGACGAAGCGUGAGUGACGGUAAUGGGUAAAGAAGCACCGGCUAACUACGUGCCAGCAGCCGCGGUGAUACGUAGGGUGCGAGCGUUGUCCGGAUUUAUUGGGCGUAAAGGGCUCGUAGGUGGUUGAUCGCGUCGGAAGUGUAAUCUUGGGGCUUAACCCUGAGCGUGCUUUCGAUACGGGUUGACUUGAGGAAGGUAGGGGAGAAUGGAAUUCCUGGUGGAGCGGUGGAAUGCGCAAAUAUCAGGAGGAACACCAGUGGCGAAGGCGGUUCUCUGGGCCUUUCCUGACGCUGAGGAGCGAAAGCGUGGGGAGCGAACAGGCUUAGAUACCCUGGUAGUCCACGCUGUAAACGGUGGGUACUAGGUGUGGGGUCCAUUCCACGGGUUCCGUGCCGUAGCUAACGCUUUAAGUACCCCGCCUGGGGAGUACGGCCGCAAGGCUAAAACUCAAAGGAAUUGACGGGGCCCCGCACAAGCGGCGGAGCAUGCGGAUUAAUUCGAUGCAACGCGUAGAACCUUACCUGGGUUUGACAUGGAUCGGGAGUGCUCAGAGAUGGGUGUGCCUCUUUUGGGGUCGGUUCACAGGUGGUGCAUGGCUGUCGUCAGCUCGUGUCGUGAGAUGUUGGGUUAAGUCCCGCAACGAGCGCAACCCUUGUUCACUGUUGCCAGCACGUUAUGGUGGGGACUCAGUGGAGACCGCCGGGGUCAACUCGGAGGAAGGUGGGGAUGACGUCAAGUCAUCAUGCCCCUUAUGUCCAGGGCUUCACGCAUGCUACAAUGGCUGGUACAGAGAGUGGCGAGCCUGUGAGGGUGAGCGAAUCUCGGAAAGCCGGUCUCAGUUCGGAUUGGGGUCUGCAACUCGACCUCAUGAAGUCGGAGUCGCUAGUAAUCGCAGAUCAGCAACGCUGCGGUGAAUACGUUCCCGGGGCU